RNAcentral lists this long non-coding RNA (946 nucleotides) under Sorghum bicolor (sorghum). RNAcentral's name for it is "long non-coding RNA (SBIC_LNC005089)". The record is from RNAcentral. Lineage: Eukaryota; Viridiplantae; Streptophyta; Magnoliopsida; Poales; Poaceae.
GAUCUCUUCCGGAACCGUGGUCGCGAAGCCGCCGCUGCACGUCGUCCACGUGAUCUGGCCGACGGUGAACGUGAGGCCUUCGGGCACGGUCGCGGAAGCUGGGAUCGUGACCAUCUUGUCCGCCGGAAAAGUUGCACGCACACCCCCUACCUGGCGCGCCACUGUCGACGAAAGCUGGUCGGCAGUCUACCUUGGGGUAUACCCACGGUAGUAGUUUAUCGGUAGACGGUGCGCGAACUACGAACUCGACGCUGACGCAAGACACGGACAAGCUUUUUAUCCAGGUUCGGCCGCCGAGUUGGCGUAAUACCUACGUCCUGCGUCUGGUUGUAUUGAAUUGUGUUGAGAGAUAAUCUGUGUAUCACUUGUCCUCUAGGGGACCCCUGCCCCUCCUUAUAUAUCCUGAAGGGACAGAGUUACAAGCAAAGUAUCCUAUUUGGUACAAUAUCUUGUAGCCUUGCGGUGCACGCCGACCAGUCGUGCGCCACACGUCUUCAUCUUGUGGGCCGAGCCACCUCUGACGGUGCGGCCCAUAUAGGCCCACGAGGGUAUAGGGGUUUAUACCCCCACAGACAAUUAAUAAUUAAUAAUACAUUUAUACAUAUAUGAGAAAAAUAAAAAAUAAGAAAAAUAAAAAAACUGGCCGCUGCUGGGCCGGCCCAGCUGGGCAGGCGGCCCACCGGCCCCUGCCCCUCCCCCUCCCUCUCACCCUCACCCUCUCCACUGGCCGCAACGCCGCCGCCGCCGCCUCCUCGGGUGACCACCCCUACGCUGUCCGGCCGCCUCGACUUCCCCCGCCUCCGUACGCCGCCUCGACUCCCCACGCCCGACUACACUCACCGCGUCGCCGCCAGCGAGCCGCGGCCGCCGCCGCGCGCAGCCGCACCCGCCGCAGCCGCACGCACACCCACUCCCACGCCGCAACCGGGAGCUAGAAGAUGACGGC